RNAcentral lists this ribosomal RNA (429 nucleotides) under uncultured bacterium. RNAcentral describes it as "bacterial SSU rRNA". It matches the Rfam family "Bacterial small subunit ribosomal RNA", at positions 355 to 776 of the family's 1533-position model. The record is from RNAcentral.
UGGGGAAUAUUGCACAAUGGGCGCAAGCCUGAUGCAGCCAUGCCGCGUGUGUGAAGAAGGCUCUAGGGUUGUAAAGCACUUUCAGUAGGGAGGAAAAGCUUAAAACUAAUAAUUUUAAGCCUUGACGUUACCUACAGAAGAAGCACCGGCAAACUCCGUGCCAGCAGCCGCGGUAAUACGGAGGGUGCAAGCGUUAAUCGGAAUUACUGGGCGUAAAGCGCGCGUAGGUGGUUUUAUAAGCUAGCUGUGAAAGCCCCGGGCUCAACCUGGGAACUGCAGUUAGAACUGUUUGACUAGAGUAUGAUAGAGGGUGGCGGAAUUUCCUGUGUAGCGGUGAAAUGCGUAGAUAUAGGAAGGAACAUCAGUGGCGAAGGCGGCCACCUGGAUUAAUACUGACACUGAGGUGCGAAAGCGUGGGGAGCAAACAGG